AUUGAACGCUGGCGGCAGGCCUAACACAUGCAAGUCGAGCGGAUGAAGGGAGCUUGCUCCUGGAUUCAGCGGCGGACGGGUGAGUAAUGCCUAGGAAUCUGCCUGGCAGUGGGGGAUAACGUCCGGAAACGGGCGCUAAUACCGCAUACGUCCUGAGGGAGAAAGUGGGGGAUCUUCGGACCUCACGCUAUCAGAUGAGCCUAGGUCGGAUUAGCUAGUUGGUGGGGUAAAGGCCUACCAAGGCGACGAUCCGUAACUGGUCUGAGAGGAUGAUCAGUCACACUGGAACUGAGACACGGUCCAGACUCCUACGGGAGGCAGCAGUGGGGAAUAUUGGACAAUGGGCGAAAGCCUGAUCCAGCCAUGCCGCGUGUGUGAAGAAGGUCUUCGGAUUGUAAAGCACUUUUAGUUGGGAGGAAGGGCAGUAAGUUAAUACCUUGCUGUUUUGACGGUACCAACAGAAUAAGCACCGGCUAACUUCGCG
RNAcentral lists this ribosomal RNA (484 nucleotides) under uncultured bacterium. RNAcentral describes it as "partial 16S ribosomal RNA". It matches the Rfam family "Bacterial small subunit ribosomal RNA", at positions 30 to 507 of the family's 1533-position model. The record is from RNAcentral.